This 166-nucleotide unclassified non-coding RNA is filed under the name soil metagenome. RNAcentral describes it as "partial internal transcribed spacer 1". The record is from RNAcentral.
CACAAAUAUGAAGGCGGGCUGGAACCUCUCGGGGUUACAGCCUUGCUGAAUUAUUCAACCCUUGUCUUUUGCGUACUUCUUGUUUCCUUGGUGGGUUUCGCCCACCACUAGGACAAACAUAAACCUUUUGUAAUUGCAAUCAGCGUCAGUAACAAAUUAAUAAUUA